Long non-coding RNA from Bactrocera dorsalis (oriental fruit fly), 317 nucleotides. RefSeq lists it as uncharacterized. Lineage: Eukaryota; Metazoa; Arthropoda; Insecta; Diptera; Tephritidae. The record is from RefSeq and is a predicted model, not a curated record. The transcript has 2 exons.
GAAGGAAACGACUCUAUAGAGUUUGGUUGACAUAGCUAUAGUAGUUUCCGAGAUAUAUACAAAAAACUUAGUAGGGGGCGGGGCCACGCCCAGUUUUCCAAAAAAAUUACGUCCAAAUAUGCCCCUCCCUAAUGCGAUCCUUUGUGCCAAAUUUCACUUUAAUAUCUUUAUUUAUGGCUUAGUUAUGACACUUUAUAAGUUUUCGGUUUCCGCCAUUUUGUGGGCGUGGCAGUGGGCCGAUUUUGCCCAUCUUCGAACUUAACCUUCUUAUGGAGCCAAGAAAUACGUGUACCAAGUUUCAUCACGAUAUCUCAAUU